RNAcentral lists this long non-coding RNA (278 nucleotides) under Ananas comosus (pineapple). RNAcentral describes it as "long non-coding RNA (ACOM_LNC019771)". The record is from RNAcentral. Lineage: Eukaryota; Viridiplantae; Streptophyta; Magnoliopsida; Poales; Bromeliaceae.
UAAUUGAAGGAUAAUUCGACGCGGAGGACAACGUCGUUUUGGAUUACGACAAGGUUACGGCGUCCGAUUGAGAGAUUUGUGGAAUUCGGUUCGUUAGGCUUGGGUCGAGCCGAACCGGACAACGUGUGCCGCGGGAGCCCGAUUGCAAGUGACUACAAGCAAUCGGAUAGCAUUGCGAGGUGGGUUGUGCUUCACCGAAGUGAUUAGGUCAUUUCAAUGUCAAAGUGAAGUGGUUUGUCGUUGAUGCAUGUAGCGGUAGUUAAUUAUAUAUAUGAAUG